UGGAUGGGCUGCUGAGCUCCACAUCAAGCCUGGCAGCAGGAAAAGCUACUUCUAGAUUCUCAUGUGGAGUGGACAGAGGCAGGAAGAGGCCCGAGAGGGAGAUCAUAUUAAAAGUACUCCAAAAAUUGAACAGUGGUCAUCAGGGUUUGGGAAGAAGAUCCUUGUGACCCGAUGUACUAGUGAAACCUUCUUGUCUCGGAUUGGAAGCACCGGUCAGGUGCUCUGCACAAAGCUGGCCAACCACAGUAAAUGCUGCUGAUGAUACAAGCCAGAGUCCAAGCCACCCCUCAGGUGGAAGUUGCCCCGGGACAUAUUUAGUAGCCACCGCUGGACCUCUGUCACUACCAGCUGUGUCAUUAGCAGAGGAGCAUUUCGACAUGACUGGAAUUGCAACUAGGAGUGGAAGGAAGGAACGAUUUAUAAGGUGUGUGUUUUUGAGAAAUCAUACCCAGUUGCAACCCAGUUAACCAACAGUUCAGAGGGUUCACUGUGGACUAGGUGAUCAUUCUACUCAGCCUGACUCAUGCCAGUUUGGAUAUUAAAAAAAAUUCUCCAGCCACCAUGAAGAAAGAGCAUGGAAAAGCAGCAUCUGCAUUAGGAAAUGAUUGCCUAGUUCUCUUCAGGCAAGUUUUAUACAUGAGUGCAUAGUUCACGCUCCAUGGGCCUAAACUCUAAAAAUGUGAUAUCUUGUUAUUAGUCACUGCUUUUCAGACCACAUUUUAAUUAAACA
Tachyglossus aculeatus (Australian echidna) is the source of this 730-nucleotide long non-coding RNA. RefSeq lists it as uncharacterized. The record is from RefSeq and is a predicted model, not a curated record. The transcript has 4 exons. NCBI's taxonomy places the organism in Eukaryota, Metazoa, Chordata, Mammalia, Monotremata, Tachyglossidae.